CCUACGGGAGGCUGCAGUGGGGAAUAUUGGACAAUGGGCGAAAGCCUGAUCCAGCCAUGCCGCGUGUGUGAAGAAGGCCUUCGGGUUGUAAAGCACUUUCAGUGGGGAAGAAAGCCUUGGGGCUAAUACCCUCGAGGAAGGACAUCACCCACAGAAGAAGCACCGGCUAACUCCGUGCCAGCAGCCGCGGUAAUACGGAGGGUGCGAGCGUUAAUCGGAAUUACUGGGCGUAAAGCGCGCGUAGGCGGUCUGAUAAGCCGGUUGUGAAAGCCCCGGGCUCAACCUGGGAACGGCAUCCGGAACUGUCCGGCUAGAGUGCAGGAGAGGAAGGUAGAAUUCCCGGUGUAGCGGUGAAAUGCGUAGAGAUCGGGAGGAAUACCAGUGGCGAAGGCGGCCUUCUGGACUGACACUGACGCUGAGGUGCGAAAGCGUGGGUAGCAAACAGGAUUAGAUACCCUGGUAGUC
Molecule: ribosomal RNA, 465 nt
Filed under: Vreelandella stevensii
Lineage: Bacteria; Pseudomonadati; Pseudomonadota; Gammaproteobacteria; Oceanospirillales; Halomonadaceae
Description: partial 16S ribosomal RNA
Rfam family: Bacterial small subunit ribosomal RNA
Source: RNAcentral